This 289-nucleotide unclassified non-coding RNA is filed under the name plant metagenome. RNAcentral describes it as "partial contains small subunit ribosomal RNA, internal transcribed spacer 1, and 5.8S ribosomal RNA". The stretch from base 241 to 289 matches the Rfam family "5.8S ribosomal RNA", at positions 1 to 49 of the family's 154-position model. The record is from RNAcentral.
UUUCCGUAGGUGAACCUGCGGAAGGAUCAUUAAUGAGUUGUCAUGGGGUUCGAUGCUGGCAGCCAAUUUUUGGAUGCAUGUGCUUGCCCUAACAAUCAUCUUCCAAACACCUGUGCACAUUUUUGAGGGAGUCUUGAGUUGGUUGCCGCUCUUGGGUGAUUUUCUCACAUUCCCUUAAAUCAUUAUACGCUAUUAACAAUGUUGAACGUGCUCUGUGCCGCAAGGCUAUUAAUAUAAUACAACUUUUAACAACGGAUCUCUUGGCUCUCGCAUCGAUGAAGUACGCAGC